CUAACACAUGCAAGUCGAGCGAGGUAUUUAUACCUAGCGGCGGACGGGUGAGUAACACGUGGGUAACCUGCCUCAGAGAGGGGAAUAGCCUUCCGAAAGGAAGAUUAAUACCGCAUAAUAUAUACUUUUAGCAUUAUGAGUAUAUCAAAGGAGCAAUCCGCUUUGAGAUGGGCCCGCGGCGCAUUAGCUAGUUGGAGAGGUAACGGCUCACCAAGGCGACGAUGCGUANCCAACCUGAGAGGGUGAUCGGCCACAUUGGAACUGAGACACGGUCCAGACUCCUACGGGAGGCAGCANUGAGGAAUAUUGGUCAAUGGAGGCAACUCUGAACCAGCCAAGUCNCGUGAAGGAUGAANGUCUUAUGGAUUGU
This 370-nucleotide ribosomal RNA is filed under the name uncultured Clostridium sp. RNAcentral describes it as "bacterial SSU rRNA". It matches the Rfam family "Bacterial small subunit ribosomal RNA", at positions 48 to 426 of the family's 1533-position model. Lineage: Bacteria; Bacillati; Bacillota; Clostridia; Eubacteriales; Clostridiaceae. The record is from RNAcentral.